UACAUGGGGUGCAAACGUUGCUCGGAAUUAUUGGGCGUAAAGCGCACGUAGGCGGUUCGUUAAGUCGGAUGUGAAAAGCCCCUCGGCUCAACUGAGGAAGUGCACCCGAAACUGGCGAGCUUGAGUACGAAAAGAGGAUCGCGGAAUUCCCGGUGUAGAGGUGAAAUUCGUAGAUAUCGGGAGGAACACCGGUGGCGAAGGCGGCGAUCGUGGGUCGAUACUGACGCAUGAGGUG
This 235-nucleotide ribosomal RNA is filed under the name uncultured bacterium. RNAcentral's name for it is "partial 16S ribosomal RNA". It matches the Rfam family "Bacterial small subunit ribosomal RNA", at positions 524 to 753 of the family's 1533-position model. The record is from RNAcentral.